CGAAUGCUGACAUAAGUAACGAUAAAGCGGGUGAAAAGCCCGCUCGCCGGAAGACCAAGGGUUCCUGUCCAACGUUAAUCGGGGCAGGGUGAGUCGACCCCUAAGGCGAGGCCGAAAGGCGUAGUCGAUGGGAAACAGGUUAAUAUUCCUGUACUUGGUGUUACUGCGAAGGGGGGACGGAGAAGGCUAUGUUGGCCGGGCGACGGUUGUCCCGGUUUAAGCGUGUAGGCUGGUUUUCCAGGCAAAUCCGGAAAAUCAAGGCUGAGGCGUGAUGACGAGGCACUACGGUGCUGAAGCAACAAAUGCCCUGCUUCCAGGAAAAGCCUCUAAGCAUCAGGUAACAUCAAAUCGUACCCCAAACCGACACAGGUGGUCAGGUAGAGAAUACCAAGGCGCUUGAGAGAACUCGGGUGAAGGAACUAGGCAAAAUGGUGCCGUAACUUCGGGAGAAGGCACGCUGAUAUGUAGGUGAAGCGACUUGCUCGUGGAGCUGAAAUCAGUCGAAGAUACCAGCUGGCUGCAACUGUUUAUUAAAAACACAGCACUGUGCAAACACGAAAGUGGACGUAUACGGUGUGACGCCUGCCC
Molecule: ribosomal RNA, 588 nt
Filed under: Escherichia coli
Lineage: Bacteria; Pseudomonadati; Pseudomonadota; Gammaproteobacteria; Enterobacterales; Enterobacteriaceae
Description: partial 23S ribosomal RNA
Rfam family: Bacterial large subunit ribosomal RNA
Source: RNAcentral